Molecule: ribosomal RNA, 969 nt
Filed under: uncultured bacterium
Lineage: Bacteria
Description: bacterial SSU rRNA
Rfam family: Bacterial small subunit ribosomal RNA
Source: RNAcentral
GGGACGCUUCGGAUUAUUGGGCGUAAGAGCUCGUAGGCGGUUUGUCGCGUCUGCCGUGAAAGUCCGGGGCUCAACUCCGGAUCUGCGGUGGGUACGGGCAGACUAGAGUGAUGUAGGGGAGACUGGAAUUCCUGGUGUAGCGGUGAAAUGCGCAGAUAUCAGGAGGAACACCGAUGGCGAAGGCAGGUCUCUGGGCAUUAACUGACGCUGAGGAGCGAAAGCAUGGGGAGCGAACAGGAUUAGAUACCCUGGUAGUCCAUGCCGUAAACGUUGGGCACUAGGUGUGGGGGACAUUCCACGUUUUCCGCGCCGUAGCUAACGCAUUAAGUGCCCCGCCUGGGGAGUACGGCCGCAAGGCUAAAACUCAAAGGAAUUGACGGGGGCCCGCACAAGCGGCGGAGCAUGCGGAUUAAUUCGAUGCAACGCGAAGAACCUUACCAAGGCUUGACAUGGGCCGGACCGGGCUGGAAACAGUCCUUCCCCUUUGGGGCCGGUUCACAGGUGGUGCAUGGUUGUCGUCAGCUCGUGUCGUGAGAUGUUGGGUUAAGUCCCGCAACGAGCGCAACCCUCGUUCCAUGUUGCCAGCGCGUAAUGGCGGGGACUCAUGGGAGACUGCCGGGGUCAACUCGGAGGAAGGUGGGGACGACGUCAAAUCAUCAUGCCCCUUAUGUCUUGGGCUUCACGCAUGCUACAAUGGCCGGUACAAAGGGUUGCGAUACUGUGAGGUGGAGCUAAUCCCAAAAAGCCGGUCUCAGUUCGGAUUGGGGUCUGCAACUCGACCCCAUGAAGUCGGAGUCGCUAGUAAUCGCAGAUCAGCAACGCUGCGGUGAAUACGUUCCCGGGCCUUGUACACACCGCCCGUCAAGUCACGAAAGUUGGUAACACCCGAAGCCGGUGGCCUAACCCCUUGUGGGAGGGAGCUGUCGAAAGGUGGGACUGGCGAUUGGGACUAAGUCGUAACAAGGUAAC